UUUGUGUGCUUUCCCUCUUGAAGAGACAAU
RNAcentral lists this non-coding RNA (30 nucleotides) under Mus musculus (house mouse). Lineage: Eukaryota; Metazoa; Chordata; Mammalia; Rodentia; Muridae. The record is from RNAcentral.